Octodon degus (degu) is the source of this 85-nucleotide small nucleolar RNA. Lineage: Eukaryota; Metazoa; Chordata; Mammalia; Rodentia; Octodontidae. The record is from Ensembl.
GGUGGCAGCGAUGACCUACCUGCCCUCCCUGAGAACAAAAUUUGAUAAUGAGAAUCUUUGUUAUAGAUUCAAGCUCUGAGCCAGA